Molecule: non-coding RNA, 228 nt
Filed under: Comamonas sp.
Lineage: Bacteria; Pseudomonadati; Pseudomonadota; Betaproteobacteria; Burkholderiales; Comamonadaceae
Description: Manganese sequence
Rfam family: Manganese Mn2+ riboswitch aptamer (yybP-ykoY) (bases 5-156)
About the family: This RNA was originally discovered in E. coli during a large scale screen and was named SraF.
Source: RNAcentral
CCUACAAUCGCGGCCGUCAUCGGGGAGUAGCCGCUUUUUGCAACGCAAGAGGCCGACGUCAACACACUUGGCCGCGCACGGCCAUGGCGUCGGCAGCCUGGGGGCAACGCCGAACAAAUCCCUCGCGGGGACUUGUGCAGCGUCGCCCUCGUGCCUGGCAAGACCUUUGACCACGACGCCUCCAGUGUGGCUGGGGAGGCGGCGUGGUCAAUCGUCAAUCACCGGCCC